CCUACGGGUUGCACCAGUGGGGAAUAUUGCACAAUGGGCGCAAGCCUGAUGCAGCCGUGCCGCGUGUAUGAGGAAGGCCUACGGGUUGUAAAGUACUUUCAGCGGGAGGAAGGCGAUAAGGUUAAUAACCUUGUCGAUUGACGUUACCCGCAGAAGAAGCACCGGCUAACUCCGUGCCAGCAGCCGCGGUAAUACGGAGGGUGCAAGCGUUAAUCGGAAUUACUGGGCGUAAAGCGCACGCAGGCGGUCUGUCAAGUCGGAUGUGAAAUCCCCGGGCUCAACCUGGGAACUGCAUUCGAAACUGGCAGGCUGGAGUCUUGUAGAGGGGGGUAGAAUCCCUGGUGUAGCGGUGAAAUGCGUAGAGAUCUGGAGGAAUACCGGUGGCGAAGGCGGCCCCCUGGACAAAGACUGACGCUCAGGUGCGAAAGCGUGGGGAGCAAACAGGAUUAGAUACCCGUGUAGUC
This 464-nucleotide ribosomal RNA is filed under the name uncultured bacterium. RNAcentral describes it as "bacterial SSU rRNA". It matches the Rfam family "Bacterial small subunit ribosomal RNA", at positions 338 to 795 of the family's 1533-position model. The record is from RNAcentral.